UACGGAGGGGGCUAGCGUUGUUCGGAAUUACUGGGCGUAAAGCGCACGUAGGCGGCUUUGUAAGUUAGAGGUGAAAGCCUGGAGCUCAACUCCAGAAUUGCCUUUAAGACUGCAUCGCUUGAAUCGCGGAGAGGUGAGUGGAAUUCCGAGUGUAGAGGUGAAAUUCGUAGAUAUUCGGAAGAACACCAGUGGCGAAGGCGACUUACUGGACACAUAUUGACGCUGAGGUGCGAAAGCGUGGGGAGCAAACAGG
RNAcentral lists this ribosomal RNA (253 nucleotides) under uncultured bacterium. Its description in RNAcentral is "partial 16S ribosomal RNA". It matches the Rfam family "Bacterial small subunit ribosomal RNA", at positions 524 to 776 of the family's 1533-position model. The record is from RNAcentral.